UGCCUUGCACUACCCGGCCUGAGACCCGGGAGGCGGCGCCUGUUGAGUCACGGUCACGUGGCCCUGGGUGCGCAGAGGCUGACAGCGCCUCGGCGGCUAGGUCGCUCGGGGCCCUAGUGGAAAAUUUUCAGAGACCUACUGCGGCUGCGCGCCCGUGGCCCCGCCCCACCUCCCUUCCCUCUGUUCCCCGCACCGACCCCGGCCCCCAGCCUUCCGGCGGCGGCCCGAGCCGCCUCUGCAGAGGUUCCUUUCUCCCACGGGAGCAGCGCUCCGCGCGCCCCGCCCGCCUGGCGCCGCCCGCGCCUUGGCCCUCCGGCCGGCAGUCUUCGCUUCCUUCGUGCCCCACCUUGGAGCUCCGAGCCGCCGUGCGGCCUUGCCCGCGACCUUGCUUGUACCCCGCUGGCAUCCUGAAAAGCAAGGAGCGGCGUCUUGGCGCCUCCGCCUUCGCCUCAGGGGCGCCGCAGCCCCCACGGCCCCGCCACCUCCGAUCCGCGUGAUACGGGUCCCCCCACACCUUUCAGGUGGACAUGGCCCCAUCUGCCCAGGAGCUCUGAAACCACUGCAGCCAACAUGUGCCCAUGCCAGGAGGUAUCUCUGCAUGCUGAAGAUGACAGAAUGAAAAGAUGGUGACCUCUCAGUCUUUGAGGAGAUUAAAAGGCUAAGAAUUAAUUCUAGGACUGCUCUAUCUGUAGACUUUCUAUUAUAUGAGAUACAAAGUAUCAUUAUUUAAGCCACUUCUAAUUGCAUAUUGUGUUUCUUACAAUAAACAGUUUUCUGCAACUGACAA
Molecule: long non-coding RNA, 787 nt
Organism: Bubalus bubalis (water buffalo)
Lineage: Eukaryota; Metazoa; Chordata; Mammalia; Artiodactyla; Bovidae
Exons: 2
Source: RefSeq, a predicted model, not a curated record